GACAGAGGGUGCAAACGUUGUUCGGAAUUACUGGGCGUAAAGCGUGUGUAGGCGGCUUUGCAAGUCGGAUGUGAAAGCCCCGGGCUCAACCCGGGAAGUGCACUCGAUACUGCGAAGCUUGAGUGUCGGAGAGGUUGGUGGAAUUCUCGGUGUAGAGGUGAAAUUCGUAGAUAUCGAGAGGAACACCGGUGGCGAAGGCGGCCAACUGGACGAACACUGACGCUGAGACACGAAAGCGUGGGGAGCAGACAGG
Molecule: ribosomal RNA, 253 nt
Filed under: uncultured bacterium
Lineage: Bacteria
Description: partial 16S ribosomal RNA
Rfam family: Bacterial small subunit ribosomal RNA
Source: RNAcentral